RNAcentral lists this transfer RNA (65 nucleotides) under Dipodomys ordii (Ord's kangaroo rat). It matches the Rfam family "tRNA". Rfam says of the family: Transfer RNA (tRNA) molecules are approximately 80 nucleotides in length. Their secondary structure includes four short double-helical elements and three loops (D, anti-codon, and T loops). Lineage: Eukaryota; Metazoa; Chordata; Mammalia; Rodentia; Heteromyidae. The record is from Rfam by way of RNAcentral.
GGUGGCUCAGUGGUAGAGCGCUUGCCUUGUAUGUGUGAGGCCCUGGGUUCAAUUCCUCAGCACCA